GAUGAACGCUGGCGGCGUGCCUAAUACAUGCAAGUCGAGCGAACAGACGAGGAGCUUGCUCCUCUGACGUUAGCGGCGGACGGGUGAGUAACACGUGGAUAACCUACCUAUAAGACUGGGAUAACUUCGGGAAACCGGAGCUAAUACCGGAUAAUAUAUUGAACCGCAUGGCUCAAUAGUGAAAGACGGUUUUGCUGUCACUUAUAGAUGGAUCCGCGCCGCAUUAGCUAGUUGGUAAGGUAACGGCUUACCAAGGCGACGAUGCGUAGCCGACCUGAGAGGGUGAUCGGCCACACUGGAACUGAGACACGGUCCAGACUCCUACGGGAGGCAGCAGUAGGGAAUCUUCCGCAAUGGGCGAAAGCCUGACGGAGCAACGCCGCGUGAGUGAUGAAGGUCUUCGGAUCGUAAAACUCUGUUAUUAGGGAAGAACAAAUGUGUAAGUAACUAUGCACGUCUUGACGGUACCUAAUCAGAAAGCCACGGCUAACUACGU
Molecule: ribosomal RNA, 496 nt
Filed under: uncultured bacterium
Lineage: Bacteria
Description: partial 16S ribosomal RNA
Rfam family: Bacterial small subunit ribosomal RNA
Source: RNAcentral